UACUCCUACGGGAGGCAGCAGUGGGGAAUAUUGGACAAUGGGCGAAAGCCUGAUCCAGCAAUGCCGCGUGAGUGAUGAAGGCCUUAGGGUUGUAAAGCUCUUUUACCCGGGAUGAUAAUGACAGUACCGGGAGAAUAAGCUCAGGCUAACUCCGUGCCAGCAGCCGCGGUAAUA
This 174-nucleotide ribosomal RNA is filed under the name uncultured Altererythrobacter sp. Its description in RNAcentral is "partial 16S ribosomal RNA". It matches the Rfam family "Bacterial small subunit ribosomal RNA", at positions 334 to 525 of the family's 1533-position model. Lineage: Bacteria; Pseudomonadati; Pseudomonadota; Alphaproteobacteria; Sphingomonadales; Erythrobacteraceae. The record is from RNAcentral.